This 425-nucleotide ribosomal RNA is filed under the name uncultured bacterium. RNAcentral's name for it is "partial 16S ribosomal RNA". It matches the Rfam family "Bacterial small subunit ribosomal RNA", at positions 354 to 796 of the family's 1533-position model. The record is from RNAcentral.
GUGGGGAAUAUUGGGCAAUGGGGGAAACCCUGACCCAGCAACGCCGCGUGAAGGAAGAAGGUUUUCGGAUCGUAAACUUCUAUCCUUGGUGAAGAUAAUGACGGUAGCCAAGAAGGAAGCCCCGGCUAACUACGUGCCAGCAGCCGCGGUAAUACGUAGGGGGCAAGCGUUGUCCGGAAUGAUUGGGCGUAAAGGGCGCGUAGGCGGCCUGGUAAGUCUGGAGUGAAAGUCCUGCUUUUAAGGUGGGAAUUGCUUUGGAUACUGUCGGGCUUGAGUGCAGGAGAGAUAAGCGGAAUUCCCGGUGUAGCGGUGAAAUGCGUAGAGAUCGGGAGGAACACCAGUGGCGAAGGCGGCUUACUGGACUGUAACUGACGCUGAGGCGCGAAAGUGUGGGGAGCAAACAGGAUUAGAAACCCGUGUAGUCC